CCUACGGGUGGCAGCAGUGAGGAAUAUUGGACAAUGGCCGGAAGGCUGAACCAGCGAAGCCGCGUGAGGGACGAAGGUGCCAAGCAUUGUAAACUUCUUUUGUCACGGAGCAAAAUCAGGCUCGAGAGCCUGACCGAGGGUACUUGCAACAACAGCAUCGGCUAACUCCGUGCCCGCAUCCACGGUAAGACGGAGGAUGCGAGGGUUAUCCGGAUUUAUUGGGUUUAAAGGGUGCUUAGGCGGGAUGUUAAGUAAGCGGUAAAAGCCCGGGGCUAAACCCCGGCGAGCCGUUGAAACUGGCUGUCUUGAGAUGUCGAGAGGUAUGCGGAAUGUGAAGUGUAGCGGUGAAAUGCUUAGAUAUUGCGCAGAACUCCGAUGGCGAAGGCAGAAUACCGGCGGCGAUCUGACGCUGAGGCACGAAAGCGUGGGUAUCGAACAGGAUUAGAUAAGUC
This 452-nucleotide ribosomal RNA is filed under the name uncultured bacterium. RNAcentral's name for it is "partial 16S ribosomal RNA". It matches the Rfam family "Bacterial small subunit ribosomal RNA", at positions 338 to 786 of the family's 1533-position model. The record is from RNAcentral.